GACGUAGGGCGCGAGCGUUGUCCGGAUUUAUUGGGCGUAAAGAGCUCGUAGGCGGCUUGUUGCGUCGGCUGUGAAAACCCAUGGCUCAACCGUGGGCUUGCAGCCGAUACGGGCAGGCUAGAGUUCGGUAGGGGAGACUGGAAUUCCUGGUGUAGCGGUGAAAUGCGCAGAUAUCAGGAGGAACACCAAUGGCGAAGGCAGCUCGCUGGGACGUGACUGACGCUGAGACGCGAAAGCGUGGGGAGCAAACAGG
Molecule: ribosomal RNA, 253 nt
Filed under: uncultured bacterium
Lineage: Bacteria
Description: partial 16S ribosomal RNA
Rfam family: Bacterial small subunit ribosomal RNA
Source: RNAcentral